CUGUUAUUUCAAAGCUCUGUUUUAGUGGUCUGUUGUUACGUUUGGGAAGCCCCCGGGGUGGGAAGAAAGACUAAAGUUGGUCUCCAAAAGAACCUUGGGUGAGUGAGAAGAGGAUCCCGGUGAAUCCAGAGCCUAUUUCAGGAACACUGAGCAUGAGCCAGGAAUGGAAGAGAGGUGUGAUGAAUUCAAAGAAACAAGAGGAAACCCAUGUCGACACCAGGAAAACAUGCACAGAAACUCUGCACAGACAGCAACCCGAGUUCAGGAUCGAACCCAGAAACCUGGAAUUGUGAGGCAGCAAUGCGACCACUUUUUUUUUUCCAAAUGUUAUUGUUGUUGUUUUUUUAAAUAAAAAAAAAAAAAAACAUUUCAUGGUAAGGGAACCCAGUGCACAUUCUGAUUUUAUUCAUACAAAAAGAAUGCUCCCUUUCCUCUGAAGCACAGCAUAUACUACAUCUCGCAGUGUGUGGAGAAUCACAGGUUAAGGAAGAGAGGUGAUUUGUAAUUUAGUGGGAGGAUGAGCCAGGGUAUACUGUCUGAGCAAAUUCCAUACUAGUGAAGUACAUCCCUUGUUAAAGCAGUUUCAGCCA
Long non-coding RNA from Ictalurus punctatus (channel catfish), 590 nucleotides. NCBI's taxonomy places the organism in Eukaryota, Metazoa, Chordata, Actinopteri, Siluriformes, Ictaluridae. The record is from Ensembl.